Pygocentrus nattereri (red-bellied piranha) is the source of this 1332-nucleotide long non-coding RNA. Lineage: Eukaryota; Metazoa; Chordata; Actinopteri; Characiformes; Serrasalmidae. The record is from Ensembl.
GUUGAUAUUAUUGCAGCUGAAGAAGCAGUUAGAGUUGAUAUUAUUGCACCUGAAGAAGCAGUUAGAGUUGAUAUUAUUGCACCUGAAGAAGCAGUUAGAGUUGAUAUUAUUGCACCUGAAGAAGCAGUUAGAGUUGAUAUUAUUGCAGCUGAAGAAGUAGUUAGAGUUGAUAUUAUUGCACCUGAAGAAGCAGUUAGAGUUGAUAUUAUUGCACCUGAAGAAGCAGUUAGAGUUGAUAUUAUUGCACCUGAAGAAGUAGUUAGAGUUGAUAUUAUUGCACCUGAAGAAGUAGUUAGAGUUGAUAUUAUUGCACCUGAAGAAGUAGUUAGAGUUGAUAUUAUUACACCUGAAGAAGUAGUUAGAGUUGAUAUUAUUGCACCUGAAGAAGCAGUUAGAGUUGAUAUUAUUGCACCUGAAGAAGUAGUUAGAGUUGAUAUUAUUGCACCUGAAGAAGUAGUUAGAGUUGAUAUUAUUGCACCUGAAGAAGCAGUUAGAGUUGAUAUUAUUGCAGCUGAAGAAGCAGUUAGAGUUGAUAUUAUUGCACCUGAAGAAGCAGUUAGAGUUGAUAUUAUUGCACCUGAAGAAGCAGUUAGAGUUGAUAUUAUUGCACCUGAAGAAGCAGUUAGAGUUGAUAUUAUUGUAGCUGAAGAAGCAGUUAGAGUUGAUAUUAUUGCAGCUGAAGAAGUAGUUAGAGUUGAUAUUAUUGCAGCUGAAGAAGCAGUUAGAGUUGAUAUUAUUGCAGCUGAAGAAGCAGUUAGAGUUGAUAUUAUUGCAGCUGAAGAAGCAGUUAGAGUUGAUAUUAUUGCAGCUGAAGAAGCAGUUAGAGUUGAUAUUAUUGCAGCUGAAGAAGCAGUUAGAGUUGAUAUUAUUGCAGCUGAAGAAGCAGUUAGAGUUGAUAUUAUUGCAGCUGAAGAAGCAGUUAGAGUUGAUAUUAUUGCACCUGAAGAAGUAGUUAGAGUUGAUAUUAUUGCACCUGAAGAAGCAGUUAGAGUUGAUAUUAUUGCACCUGAAGAAGUAGUUAGAGUUGAUAUUAUUGCACCUGAAGAAGUAGCUGCAGGUGAUGCACUUGCACUGUCAGAAGGUUUCCUUUCUGGUCUCGACUCCUCCAGCAAUACUGAUGAGUGUCAUGUCCUCAUGUGCCUGUGCAAGUUGUUUGUCCAGCCUGCUCUAUAUGAAAUGCUGGGGGGGGGAGAGACAGCGAGGCACCGAAGGACAAAAAAAAACGACGUUGGAAAAAGACUGUCGGCUCUGUGGCACUUGCAGAGCACAAGCGCAGCGACAGGGAGGCGGAGAGACCGCGAGAUACUGAAGGAAAAAACGGCUCCCGAAUAG